This 305-nucleotide ribosomal RNA is filed under the name uncultured bacterium. RNAcentral describes it as "bacterial SSU rRNA". It matches the Rfam family "Bacterial small subunit ribosomal RNA", at positions 338 to 641 of the family's 1533-position model. The record is from RNAcentral.
CCUACGGGAGGCAGCAGUGAGGAAUAUUGGUCAAUGGGCGGGAGCCUGAACCAGCCAAGUCGCGUGAGGGAAGAAGGUACUGAGUAUUGUAAACCUCUUUUGCCAGGGGACAAAGGCGGCCACGGGUGGCCGUAAGAGGGUACCUGGAGAAAAAGCAUCGGCUAACUCCGUGCCAGCAGCCGCGGUAAUACGGAGGAUGCGAGCGUUAUCCGGAUUUAUUGGGUUUAAAGGGUGCGUAGGCGGGAUGCCAAGUCAGCGGUAAAAAUGCGGUGCUCAACGCCGUCGAGCCGUUGAAACUGGCGUUC